AGCGAACGCUGGCGGCAUGCCUAACACAUGCAAGUCGCACGGGGGGGCUUCGGCCCCCCCGUGGCGGACGGGUGAGGAACGCGUAGGGACCUGUCGAGGGGUGGGGGAUAACCGCGGGAAACUGCGGCUAAUACCGCAUGACGCCGCGGCGUGACAGCCGGGGCCAAAGGCGAAAGCCGCCCGCCGAGGGGCCUGCGUCCGAUUAGCUGGUUGGCGGGGUAGCGGCCCACCAAGGCGUCGAUCGGUAGCUGGUCUGAGAGGGUGAUCAGCCACACCGGGACUGAGACACGGCCCGGACUCCUACGGGAGGCAGCAGUGGGGAAUAUUGGACAAUGGGCGCAAGCCUGAUCCAGCAAUGCCGCGUGGGUGAAGAAGGUCUUCGGAUUGUAAAGCCCUUUCGGCGGGGACGAUGGUGACGGUACCCGCAGAAGAAGCCCCGGCUAACUUCGUG
This 451-nucleotide ribosomal RNA is filed under the name uncultured bacterium. RNAcentral's name for it is "partial 16S ribosomal RNA". It matches the Rfam family "Bacterial small subunit ribosomal RNA", at positions 28 to 507 of the family's 1533-position model. The record is from RNAcentral.